CUCUCGUGCAAGUCGACAUGGUCGCCUGGGGGAGCUGGCUCCGCCGGAUGAGAGUGGGGCACGGGUGCGUAUCGCGGGAGCAACCUGCCUUUGUCAGGCGGAGAUGCCGUUAAGAGACGGAUUAAUACCGCAUGACGUACUUUCCGGCAUCGGGGUGUAUCCAAAUAUUGGUAGGACAUGCGUGGGCUCGCGUGACAUUAGCUUGUUGGUGCGGUAACGGCGCACCAAGGCGACGAUGUCUAGGGGCUCUGAGAGGAGAAACCCCCACGCUGGUACUGAGCCAGGGUCAAACUCUAUACGGGAGGCAGCAGUAGGGAAUAUUGGUCAAUGGGCGGGAGCCUGAACCAGCCAUGCCGCGUGCGGGAGGAAGGCCCUAUGGGUCGUAAACCGCUUUUACACGGGAACAACCGCAGCUACGGGUAGCGGCCUGAGCGUACCGUGGGAAUAAGGAUCGGCUAACUCCGUGCCAGCAGCCGCGGUAAUACGGAGGAUCCGAGCGUUAUCCGGAAUUAUUGGGUUUAAAGGGUGCGUAGGCGGCACUUUAAGUCAGGGGUGAAAUACAGCGGCUCAACCGUUGCAGUGCCCUUGAUACUGAAGUGCUUGAAUGUGGCCGAAGGAGGCGGAACGGGACAAGUAGCGGUGAAAUGCAUAGAUAUGUCCCAGAACCCCGAUUGCGAAGGCAGCUUCCUAGACCGUUAUUGACGCUGAUGCACGAAAGCGUGGGGAUCGAACAGGAUUAGAUACCCUGGUAGUCCACGCCCUAAACGAUGAUGACUCGAUGUUUGCGAUAUACAGUAAGCGUCCAAGCGAAAGCGUUAAGUCAUCCACCUGGGGAGUACGGCCGCAAGGCUGAAACUCAAAGGAAUUGACGGGGGCCCGCACAAGCGGAGGAGCAUGUGGUUUAAUUCGAUGAUACGCGAGGAACCUUACCCGGGCUUGAAAGUUAGCGGCGGUGCCAGAGACGGCACUUCCCUUCGGGGCGCGAAACUAGGUGCUGCAUGGCUGUCGUCAGCUCGUGCCGUGAGGUGUUGGGUUAAGUCCCGCAACGAGCGCAACCCCUAUGUCCAGUUGCCAUCGGGUAAUGCCGGGGACUCUGGACAGACUGCCUGUGCAAACAGUGAGGAAGGCGGGGACGACGUCAAGUCAUCAUGGCCCUUACGUCCGGGGCUACACACGUGCUACAAUGGGCGGUACAGCGGGCAGCUACCUGGCAACAGGAUGCGAAUCCCCCAAAGCCGCCCACAGUUCGGAUCGGGGCCUGCAACUCGGCCCCGUGAAGCUGGAUUCGCUAGUAAUCGCGUAUCAGCAAUGACGCGGUGAAUACGUUCCCGGGCCUUGUACACACCACCCGUCAAGCCAUGAAAGCUGGGGGUGCCUAAAGCAUGUAGCCGCAAGGAGCGUGUUAGG
RNAcentral lists this ribosomal RNA (1407 nucleotides) under Flavobacterium sp. Xb-5. RNAcentral's name for it is "bacterial SSU rRNA". It matches the Rfam family "Bacterial small subunit ribosomal RNA". The record is from RNAcentral. Lineage: Bacteria; Pseudomonadati; Bacteroidota; Flavobacteriia; Flavobacteriales; Flavobacteriaceae.